This 494-nucleotide ribosomal RNA is filed under the name uncultured bacterium. RNAcentral's name for it is "bacterial SSU rRNA". It matches the Rfam family "Bacterial small subunit ribosomal RNA", at positions 900 to 1396 of the family's 1533-position model. The record is from RNAcentral.
CUUAAAUGAAUUGGCGGGGAGGCACAAGCGGUGGAGCAUGUGGUUUAAUUCGAUGCAACGCGAAGAACCUUACCUGGUCUUGACAUCCACGGAAGUUUUCAGAGAUGAGAAUGUGCCUUCGGGAACCGUGAGACAGGUGCUGCAUGGCUGUCGUCAGCUCGUGUUGUGAAAUGUUGGGUUAAGUCCCGCAACGAGCGCAACCCUUAUCCUUUGUUGCCAGCGGUCCGACCGGGAACUCAAAGGAGACUGCCAGUGAUAAACUGGAGGAAGGUGGGGAUGACGUCAAGUCAUCAUGGCCCUUACGACCAGGGCUACACACGUGCUACAAUGGCGCAUACAAAGAGAAGCGACCUCGCGAGAACAAGCGGACCUCAUAAAGUGCGUCGUAGUCCGGAUUGGAGUCUGCAACUCGACUCCAUGAAGUCGGAAUCGCUAGUAAUCGUGGAUCAGAAUGCCACGGUGAAUACGUUCCCGGGCCUUGCACACACCGCCCG